UACAGAGGGGGCAAGCGUUGUUCGGAAUUACUGGGCGUAAAGGGUGCGUAGGCGGGUCUUUAAGUCAGGGGUGAAAUCCUGGAGCUCAACUCCAGAACUGCCUUUGAUACUGAAGAUCUUGAGUUCGGGAGAGGUGAGUGGAACUGCGAGUGUAGAGGUGAAAUUCGUAGAUAUUCGCAAGAACACCAGUGGCGAAGGCGGCUCACUGGCCCGAUACUGACGCUGAGGCACGAAGGCUAGGGUAGCGAACGGG
Molecule: ribosomal RNA, 253 nt
Filed under: uncultured bacterium
Lineage: Bacteria
Description: partial 16S ribosomal RNA
Rfam family: Bacterial small subunit ribosomal RNA
Source: RNAcentral